Molecule: ribosomal RNA, 253 nt
Filed under: uncultured bacterium
Lineage: Bacteria
Description: partial 16S ribosomal RNA
Rfam family: Bacterial small subunit ribosomal RNA
Source: RNAcentral
UACGAGGGGGGCAAGCGUUGUUCGGAAUUAUUGGGCGUAAAGGGCGCGUAGGCGGGCCCUCAAGUCCGGGGUGAAAUCCUCCCGCUUAACGGGAGAAGAGCCUCGGAGACUGAGGGCCUCGAGGGAGGUAGGGGCGUGCGGAACUAUGGGUGGAGCGGUGAAAUGCAUUGAUAUCCAUAGGAACUCCGGUGGCGAAGGCGGCACGCUGGACCUCUUCUGACGCUGAGGCGCGAAAGCCAGGGGAGCAAACGGG